RNAcentral lists this ribosomal RNA (288 nucleotides) under Triticum aestivum (bread wheat). RNAcentral describes it as "partial small subunit ribosomal RNA". The record is from RNAcentral. Lineage: Eukaryota; Viridiplantae; Streptophyta; Magnoliopsida; Poales; Poaceae.
AUGUACACGAGUGACGGGAGGCGUUUCGAAGUACUGUUGGAGUACCUCAGCAUGACGGUGUUCAGCGAGCUCCUCAGGAUAUCGCAGGAGGAGUUUGGUUUUAGAAGCGAUGGCAAGAUCACAUUGCCUUGUGAUGCGGCAGUGAUGGAGUAUGUCAUGUGCUUGCUCAGGAGAAAUGCAUCUGCCGAGGUCAAGAGUGCAUUGCUGAGCUCCAUGGUGACGCCUUGCCACUACACUGGCUGUGCGAUUCCUACUGUCGGAGCCAGCCAGCAGAUUUGCUGUCUGUAG